RNAcentral lists this ribosomal RNA (492 nucleotides) under uncultured bacterium. RNAcentral's name for it is "partial 16S ribosomal RNA". It matches the Rfam family "Bacterial small subunit ribosomal RNA", at positions 29 to 507 of the family's 1533-position model. The record is from RNAcentral.
AUUGAACGCUGGCGGCAUGCUUUACACAUGCAAGUCGAACGGUAACAGGCCUUCGGGUGCUGACGAGUGGCGAACGGGUGAGUAAUGCAUCGGAACGUACCCAGAGGUGGGGGAUAACGCAGCGAAAGCUGUGCUAAUACCGCAUGUGAUCUGAGGAUGAAAGCGGGGGACCGAGCAGCAAUGUUUGGCCUCGCGCCUUUGGAGCGGCCGAUGUCGGAUUAGCUAGUUGGUGGGGUAAAGGCCUACCAAGGCGACGAUCCGUAGCUGGUCUGAGAGGACGACCAGCCACACUGGGACUGAGACACGGCCCAGACUCCUAAGGGAGGCAGCAGUGGGGAAUGUUGGACAAUGGGCGCAAGCCUGAUCCAGCAAUGCCGCGUGCGGGAAGAAGGCCUUCGGGUUGUAAACCGCUUUUGGCAGGAACGAAACGGUGUCCGCUAAUACCGGGCGCUAAUGACGGUACCUGCAGAAUAAGCACCGGCUAACUACGUG